AGGUCAAGCUACAAAGGGCGCACGGAGGAUGCCUUGGCACCAGGAGCCUAAGAAGGAC
Molecule: ribosomal RNA, 58 nt
Filed under: Clostridium sp. HV4-5-A1G
Lineage: Bacteria; Bacillati; Bacillota; Clostridia; Eubacteriales; Clostridiaceae
Description: partial 23S ribosomal RNA
Source: RNAcentral